Molecule: long non-coding RNA, 485 nt
Filed under: Coffea arabica (coffee)
Lineage: Eukaryota; Viridiplantae; Streptophyta; Magnoliopsida; Gentianales; Rubiaceae
Description: long non-coding RNA (CARA_LNC005706)
Source: RNAcentral
UUUUAUGUUUUGCGUAAUGCAAUCCGAUUAUUGUAUGUAAUUUGGUCCUCUAAUUCCCCCUAAUCCCGGUAAUACUUAAUAUUACUAAAGGUGUUUUGACUUUUAUGUCUUGUGUUAGAGGAUAGGAUAGGCCUCUUUUCUAUUCCAAACUACGUAUUGAUGCUUUUAUGUUUUGCAUAAUUCACAAACCAAUUAUUGUAUGUAUUUAUAGUGUUGUACUGAAUAUUCGUUAAAAGGUACAACAAUUGAACUAAAUCACAUAGCAUCGACUUAAUUCCCUCUAUUCCUUUGUUCUUUUAGUGCCUUGAUUAUCAAAUAUGCCACCGAGCAACUAGAUCUAAUUUUCAAACAUUACAACAAAACGCAUAAAUAGAAUUACAUAAAAAAAACAAAUAAGAAAGAAAUACUAAGUAUGCAAAAUUUUUUGAUCAAUCAAACUAUUUGUUGCUAUGGAUUAUUUAUCCCUUUAGAAUUCAUAAACUCCC